GUAGGGUGCGAGCGUUAAUCGGAAUUACUGGGCGUAAAGCGUGCGCAGGCGGUUUUGUAAGUCAGAUGUGAAAGCCCCGGGCUUAACCUGGGAAUGGCGUUUGAAACUACAAGGCUAGAGUGUGUCAGAGGGGGGUAGAAUUCCACGUGUAGCAGUGAAAUGCGUAGAGAUGUGGAGGAAUACCGAUGGCGAAGGCAGCCCCCUGGGAUAACACUGACGCUCAUGCACGAAAGCGUGGGGAGCAAACAGGAUUAGAUACCCUGGUAGUCCACGCCCUAAACGAUGUCAACUAGUUGUCGGGAGGGUAACCCUCUUGGUAACGCAGCUAACGCGUGAAGUUGACCGCCUGGGGAGUACGGUCGCAAGAUUA
Molecule: ribosomal RNA, 370 nt
Filed under: uncultured bacterium
Lineage: Bacteria
Description: bacterial SSU rRNA
Rfam family: Bacterial small subunit ribosomal RNA
Source: RNAcentral